GAGAGAGAGAUGAAAUGAUGGUGAAAAAGAGAGAGCGAUGAAACGAUAGUGAAAAAGAUAAAGAGAAUAAUAUAUAAACUAACUUUGUUCAAAAAAUAAUAAUAUGUAAACUAACUUCAUGAUUGAUCGUGCGGUGAUGGUGGUAAGUUAAGAAUAAUUAGGAAAUUUGUGUUUUUUUUUAUAUUAGUUUGUAUGAUAAAACGUGGGUAGUUAUCCAUGUUUCUCUUUUUUUAUUGUUAAAUUAAUUUAUAGAAAAUAUAUAAAAGAAUCUUUUAAAAUUUAAUAGACAAAAACUCAUAGAAAAAUUGAUAUAUAUUUUUUUGAAACACAGAAAAAUUGAUAUCUAAAUUCAUAUUAAUAAGCGUAGAAAAGGUAAUAAUAAUAUUGAUUAUGGAUUCACAUGGGUGAAAAUAAUCCUUCAUAAAA
Molecule: long non-coding RNA, 426 nt
Filed under: Brassica napus (rape)
Lineage: Eukaryota; Viridiplantae; Streptophyta; Magnoliopsida; Brassicales; Brassicaceae
Description: long non-coding RNA (BNAP_LNC024107)
Source: RNAcentral